CUGCAACCAAUUAAGCCAACCCAGGCCCUUUCCCCAUGGGGGCCUAGUGUGCAAUGCUCACAAACAGCAGCCUCCUUGACAUGGGGCCUCUUGCUGAUCUGGGUUGCCCUAAGAGACCUUGGAGACAAUUU
Molecule: small nucleolar RNA, 131 nt
Filed under: Mus caroli (Ryukyu mouse)
Lineage: Eukaryota; Metazoa; Chordata; Mammalia; Rodentia; Muridae
Description: predicted gene, 26211 (MGP_CAROLIEiJ_G0035907.1)
Rfam family: Small nucleolar RNA SNORA70
About the family: snoRNA U70 seems to be exclusive to mammals and is a member of the H/ACA class of snoRNA which contain H (ANANNA) and ACA box motifs. H/ACA box snoRNAs are involved in the conversion of uridines to pseudouridines (5-ribosyluracil) a constituent of structural RNAs (transfer, ribosomal, small nuclear, and small nucleolar).
Source: RNAcentral